RNAcentral lists this ribosomal RNA (445 nucleotides) under uncultured bacterium. RNAcentral's name for it is "bacterial SSU rRNA". It matches the Rfam family "Bacterial small subunit ribosomal RNA", at positions 354 to 796 of the family's 1533-position model. The record is from RNAcentral.
GUAGGGAAUAUUGGGCAAUGGAGGCAACUCUGACCCAGCCAUGCCGCGUGCAGGAAGACGGUCCUCUGGAUUGUAAACUGCUGUUGAAUGGGAAGAAACGUAGCUUUGCGAAGCUAUUUGACGGUACUAUUAGAAUAAGCACCGGCUAACUCCGUGCCAGCAGCCGCGGUAAUACGGAGGGGGCAAGCGUUAUCCGGAUUUAUUGGGUUUAAAGGGUGCGUAGGCGGCUUUAUAAGUCUGGGGUUAGAGGCGGCAGCUUUACUGUACGCAUGCCCUGGAAACUGUGGAGCUUGAGUGACUUGGGGGUAGCUAGAAUUCCCUGUGUAGCGGUGAAAUGCAUAGAUACGGGGAGGAAUACCGAUUGCGAAGGCAUGUUACUACGAGUAAACUGACGCUGAUGCACGAAAGCGUGGGGAUCAAACAGGAUUAGAAACCCGUGUAGUCC